ACAGUUUCAGCCUUGAAAAGCCAUUGAUCAUAAUAAAUUUUUAUAAGCUACAAGAGUAAAACAUGAAAGAGGAUGAAAACUUUUCAGUCACUCUGUCCCGAUUAACCCAAGCUAACAGACUUUAUGGGAUUCGUUCUCCAGCACUCUACUCAUAACUGGACUCUGAUCUCAGACAGCUAGAGCUUCCCUGUGCUACAUCACAUCAUGUAGGCUGCACUUUCACCACAUUUAUACGCCAAGAGCCUUAAUUUCCAAGAUCUUAAUUUAAAAGAUCUUAAAUCUUGAUUUACUUGUAGCUGUCGGUUGUUUAUUUUUACUUUAAAAUGUUGACUUAUAGGCAAUUUCUGUGUUCUACAUAUGCUUUGUUUCAAAUUUAAUGUAAUAGCAUGCCUUUAUUAUCCAUUAUAUAUAUUAAAUAUUCUGCAGAUUUUGGAUUUCAUACAAAACUCAUCUUAUUUGCAACAUUUUCUUGGAGUGAAUAAAAAACACAUGCAUAUGAGACAAAUUUAUGCAAAUAUAUUUAAUAUAUCAUUUAUAUAUAUUUAACAUACAAACCUGAUCACAAUUUUUGACACGCCUGCUUUUUAAGCACAAAAUGUUGAGUUCUGUGUUUAAGAUGUAGGCGUGUAAAUCGUUCUGACCAACAGAUAAAGCAACGUUACAGGAUUGUGGAGCUUUGCACAUCCGUUCAGUAAGACAGGAUAGGAAAGCAGGAGCGGAGCAGCACACAUCAGGAUUGUUUGGUUUGUUAGGAUCGUAGCUGCAUCUGUAAAUCAGUGACAGAUUUAAUGUAAAACAAUGGAUGAACUCUUUUAUAUGCACAUCAGUUAGCCGGUGUGAGUGUGCUGCCCUAAAUAGUAAAAUGUUAGUAAUGUGCAAAUACUGUAAUGUUUUAUUUCCCAUUACAG
Molecule: long non-coding RNA, 908 nt
Organism: Poecilia latipinna (sailfin molly)
Lineage: Eukaryota; Metazoa; Chordata; Actinopteri; Cyprinodontiformes; Poeciliidae
Exons: 2
Source: RefSeq, a predicted model, not a curated record